CCUACGGGAGGCAGCAGUGAGGAAUCUUCCACAAUGGGCGAAAGCCUGAUGGAGCAACGCCGCGUGCAGGAUGAAGGCCCUCGGGUUGUAAACUGCUUUUGUACGGAACGAAAAGCCUGGGGCUAAUAUCCCCGGGUCAUGACGGUACCGUAAGAAUAAGCACCGGCUAACUACGUGCCAGCAGCCGCGGUAAUACGUAGGGUGCAAGCGUUAAUCGGAAUUACUGGGCGUAAAGCGUGCGCAGGCGGUUUUGUAAGACAGUGGUGAAAUCCCCGGGCUCAACCUGGGAACUGCCAUUGUGACUGCAAGGCUAGAGUGCGGCAGAGGGGGAUGGAAUUCCGCGUGUAGCAGUGAAAUGCGUAGAUAUGCGGAGGAACACCGAUGGCGAAGGCAAUCCCCUGGGCCUGCACUGACGCUCAUGCACGAAAGCGUGGGGAGCAAACAGGAUUAGAUACCCCAGUAGUC
RNAcentral lists this ribosomal RNA (465 nucleotides) under uncultured Comamonadaceae bacterium. RNAcentral describes it as "bacterial SSU rRNA". It matches the Rfam family "Bacterial small subunit ribosomal RNA", at positions 338 to 795 of the family's 1533-position model. Lineage: Bacteria; Pseudomonadati; Pseudomonadota; Betaproteobacteria; Burkholderiales; Comamonadaceae. The record is from RNAcentral.